CGAAAACUACAUAGCUCUCUGGCGCAUUGGCUCGCCUCGCCGAUCACCGGAGAGUCUAUACAUACAUGUGUUCAUUCUUUCAUCUUCUCCCCUUUAAUUCUCUUUUCUUCUUCUCUUUUCCGCCAAGGAUUUUGGCCAGAAAUUCUGAUGUAAACAAAAAGAUGUUUGGCAUUGGUGUCACUGAUUGGUUAUUGAUGUCGAUGGAUCAUUGAUGAAAUUGAUUGGCUUUGUUCAUAGUACAAUGUUGAUGAGAUUGCUCUUCUACUUCUCUGGAGACCAGUGAGAUGAAUGUGUUUGAGUUGAACUCUGCUUCUUCAUGCCUCACCAGCAGCACAUUGCCACAUUCAUCCACCAGCUCCAAAGAAAAGUCACCUUGUCUGUGACUGACUGUACUUGUGAUUAGAUAACAAAUUAUUACGACCGAGUUAAGAAGUAGUAGUUCCGCAGCUGGAAGGAGACAAUGCGAUCCCUGAAGUCAGUCAUGAACCGCAUCAGCGAGGGAGAAAAGGAGGAGCAAAGCAAGGGCACACCAAAUGCGCCUGCGCCUAACUGACAAAGGCCCGGCCUAUCUUGAAAUGCCGCGUGAGGAAAGCACCUCAACCCGGCACUGCAGCUGGGAGCUGGCCAGCGGCCUCACGAGUUCCAGUGCCUUGAAGCGUCGCCUCGUCCAAGUCUUAAAAAAUUCGAAAUUCCGAACCAGUUUGCUUCCAGGCUCCAAGUACUGGCAAAGAAGAAAGUUUACCGGUAGUAGUCUGUCGUUUCGAAGUCGCUUCCGUCGAAGAAAUUCUUCUUCUUUACCCGUUUGUUUCAGCUUUGCCGGUCGAACACGCCACGGCGACCCGUGUGUUGACACAGGGGACGCGCAGGGGUACAAAACUUUGACUUCACUUAAUCAAAUCACACGGUAUAUCCUGCUUAUGUUUUUUUACUUGUUUAUGAACCUCUUCCUUUUCUAAGGCAAGUUGCACUUGAGGAAGGAUGAACUAGUACUACAUGCAUGUAGUAUUACUGCCGAGCAUGCCUCUUUCCGGGCAACAAGCACGUAUAUCCUGUUUUCACUCGCCAUUCUCUUUAUUUUAUAGUACAUUUUUUUUCUCCUUAAUACAAGUUGCCCUAACUUGUCUACGAAGUAGUAGUAGUGCACAUUCAGGCGUUACUGCCCUGCAUUUCGCGGCAAGGAGAACCCGGUCUAUCUAUCUAUCAAUUAAACAUGUGCUGUAUAUCUACGUCGUCAUUGUAUAUGCAGUUUUAAUGGAGUACUGCUCGGGAUGAUUGUGUGGUUAAGUCGUGCGAUCUAAUCUCUUGGAAUGAUGAGGGAUGCGAUUUAGUCGUAUGUAUCGCGCGCAGUCAUCGUGGAUUCGUGGCAUCUCAUCAUCAGGUCCGGCAUCACUUUCUGAAGCUUCCUUGCCGUUUCUACGUAGAGUACGUGCUUGCUUGCUCUGUCGUGUGUACGCACGUAGUCCUCCCCCUCCCCUCAUCGAUCCCCAAGUGGAUAACCUACGUGUGAGCCGCGUAUAAUAAUACGUACUGGAGUAAUCUGUCUUAGCCAGAUUGACAUCCGAUACAUUUUGCCACGUUCGCUAUGAUUAGCUGCCGAUGAUUAGUUUUGGGUUGGAGAAGACGCGAGGGAAUCUGGAAGGCUAGGGGGCAGCCGGUCGGAGUUGCCGGCACGAAAAUGUGCGAGAGGAUCAGAGCAGAGGGGCCGGGUCAGGUGUAGCAGUAGUGUGUGGUGCAACUGUAUCUCAUGACUCAGCAGGCGUGCGUGGGGAUGCGGUUGCGAGAUCAAUUCCUCGGGUCCGGGUGGUGGCGGUGGGCACGCGCGAUGCCGGUCCCCGGCGGCGUGGGCGUGCCCGCCUGCGCCCGCGCCGGCGUCGCUCCCUCGUGGCUCGUGGGGGACGUGUGCGGCAAGCGAGGAGUUGGGGUUGGACCCCGGCGCGCGCGUAGGGCAGGCAGCAGCAACGGCUCGAUCAGUCGAGCGAUCAAUCGGUCGAGGUCAGUGCGGCGCGGCACGUCCGUUGGUAGUGGUAUGGGACGGACGGAUCGUAGGCGCGGGGCACGCACGAGCCUCCUACACGUACCGACGCGAGCAACAGUGCGCGCGCGAGCGAGCGAGGAGGCGGUGGCGCCGGUGGGGUGCGUGAGACUCGCGCCAGACCGCGCGCGGAUCGGGAGGAACAGAUCCCGGUUUCCGCUGCCGUGGGAGCACCGCGGAGGGGAGGGGGGCCGUGCCGCCAUGCGUGCCGUGGCGUGCGCGCCUGGAGUGUUCAUUGGAUCCCGCCCUGCGCGCGUGACGCGAGGAGGCGGGCCCGGGGCCUGGGGACGACGGCUUCGUCAUGGGCCAUGUGUUGUGCUCCCGACCUGACUCUCACGCACGGAUGUUAUGGCCCUAUCAUCAUCACCGAGAGAUUAGAGAGGGCGCAGUGGGCUUCGGUUUUAGAGAGGGCACAGUGGGCUGCGGGAAAUGUGAGCAAAAAAAAAAAUU
RNAcentral lists this long non-coding RNA (2482 nucleotides) under Triticum aestivum (bread wheat). Its description in RNAcentral is "long non-coding RNA (TAES_LNC015758)". The record is from RNAcentral. Lineage: Eukaryota; Viridiplantae; Streptophyta; Magnoliopsida; Poales; Poaceae.